AACGCACCUUGCGCUCCUUGGUAUUCCGAGGAGCAUGCCUGUUUGAGUGUCAUGAAAACCCUCAACCUUAGAUUGGUUAUUUGACCUUUCUUUGGCUUGGAUUUGGACGUUUGCCGAUGUCAAGUCGGCUCGUCUUAAAAGUAAUAGCUGGAUCUGUCUCGCGACAUGGUUUGACUUGGCGUAAUAAGUAUUUCGCUAAGGACAUCUUCGGAUGGCCCUGUUGCAGGACUAAAGACCGCUUUCUAAUCCAUUGAUCUUCGGAUUAAUAUUCAUAACAUCUGGCCUCAAAUCAGGUAGGACUACCCGCUGAACUUAA
RNAcentral lists this unclassified non-coding RNA (316 nucleotides) under Botryobasidium sp. RNAcentral describes it as "partial contains 5.8S ribosomal RNA, internal transcribed spacer 2, and large subunit ribosomal RNA". The stretch from base 1 to 52 matches the Rfam family "5.8S ribosomal RNA", at positions 103 to 154 of the family's 154-position model. Lineage: Eukaryota; Fungi; Basidiomycota; Agaricomycetes; Cantharellales; Botryobasidiaceae. RNAcentral also lists the same sequence under 2 other names. The record is from RNAcentral.